GGAGGAGGGCAGGAGGGAUGUCCGGCGGAGCCCCGGGCCGUGGGAAUCCAGCCUGGGCUCACUCGGGACUCCUUCCCCGGGUCCUUCCGCCCGUCGUGCAGCCCCAAGUGUACUGGACCUUUGACCGCCAAGAGCUCUCGACGCGAGGGAGAAAAGCUCCAGGAGGGCCUACACCCUCGGAAGCCACGCUCUCCUAGGACAGGAGGAAGUGACCUGCUACACUGUGUCCAUGGCUGUUCCAGAACUCCAGAGCUCCCUGCAGUAGUGUUGGCUUAAGAACUAUUCAUUUCUGUUCCUUUUCAAUGUGGGCCAAAAAUGCAACUUGAUUUCAGUUAGAAAAAAAAAGGUACAAGACACAGUUUUCAGGUGACAAAUAUUGCAGGACCCCUGUAAACAGUGGAGCUUUUACCGGAUAGCACUUCUAAAGCAUUCUUAGUGCCAUGUAGUGGUUAUUUUCAGUCCUUAAAUUGUAUUCCUAACGCGUCCGUGUCUUAGUUUCUCUCUCAUGCUCUGUGCUUUCUUUUUCCCCAGCAACAUUAAAAAAAAAAAAAGAGUUAUGGUAUAUUUAAUCAACUGAACAAUAAAAGUUAAAUAGAAACAUCUAAAUAUCAAUAACAAGAAA
Long non-coding RNA from Tupaia belangeri chinensis (Chinese tree shrew), 622 nucleotides. RefSeq lists it as uncharacterized. NCBI's taxonomy places the organism in Eukaryota, Metazoa, Chordata, Mammalia, Scandentia, Tupaiidae. The record is from RefSeq and is a predicted model, not a curated record. The transcript is spliced from 2 exons.